CGGCUGGCCCUUGUCCGACAUGUUCUUACGGCCAUGCCGGUCCACAUUCUCCUUGCGAUGACGAUCGCCCCUUCCGUCCUCAAGCGGAUCACCAAGGUCAUCCGAGACUUCCUCUGGUUUGGCCGCCAUGACGUGAUUGGUGGCUGAUGCCCUGUCUCCUGGGCCCGCGUCUGCCGGCCUCUUGCCCACGGCGCUCUGGCCAUCCGGGACAUUCAGCGCACUGGCGUGGCGCUACACACCCGCUGGCUCUGGCUCUAG
RNAcentral lists this ribosomal RNA (258 nucleotides) under Triticum aestivum (bread wheat). RNAcentral's name for it is "partial small subunit ribosomal RNA". Lineage: Eukaryota; Viridiplantae; Streptophyta; Magnoliopsida; Poales; Poaceae. The record is from RNAcentral.